CCUCAUAUAGGGCUCUGGAUGAUU
RNAcentral lists this non-coding RNA (24 nucleotides) under Cricetulus griseus (Chinese hamster). The record is from RNAcentral. Lineage: Eukaryota; Metazoa; Chordata; Mammalia; Rodentia; Cricetidae.